RNAcentral lists this ribosomal RNA (253 nucleotides) under uncultured bacterium. RNAcentral describes it as "partial 16S ribosomal RNA". It matches the Rfam family "Bacterial small subunit ribosomal RNA", at positions 524 to 776 of the family's 1533-position model. The record is from RNAcentral.
UACAGAGACUGCAAGCGUUAUUCGGAUUCACUGGGCGUAAAGGGUGCGCAGGCGGUCGGGUGUGUCAGAUGUGAAAUCCCGAGGCUCAACCUCGGAACUGCGUCUGAAACUACUCGACUAGAGUACUGGAGAGGGUAACGGAAUUCACGGUGUAGCAGUGAAAUGCGUAGAUAUCGUGAGGAACACCAGAGGCGAAGGCGGUUACCUGGGCCAUUGCUGACGCUGAGGCGCGAAAGCGUGGGGAGCAAACAGG